UACGUAGGUGGCAAGCGUUGUCCGGAAUUAUUGGGCGUAAAGCGCGCGCAGGCGGUCCUUUAAGUCUGAUGUGAAAGCCCACGGCUCAACCGUGGAGGGUCAUUGGAAACUGGGGGACUUGAGUACAGAAGAGAAGAGUGGAAUUCCACGUGUAGCGGUGAAAUGCGUAGAGAUGUGGAGGAACACCAGUGGCGAAGGCGACUCUUUGGUCUGUAACGUGACGCUGAGGCGCGAAAGCGUGGGGAGCAAACAGG
RNAcentral lists this ribosomal RNA (254 nucleotides) under uncultured bacterium. RNAcentral describes it as "partial 16S ribosomal RNA". It matches the Rfam family "Bacterial small subunit ribosomal RNA", at positions 524 to 776 of the family's 1533-position model. The record is from RNAcentral.